This 421-nucleotide ribosomal RNA is filed under the name uncultured archaeon. RNAcentral's name for it is "partial 16S ribosomal RNA". It matches the Rfam family "Archaeal small subunit ribosomal RNA", at positions 323 to 746 of the family's 1478-position model. The record is from RNAcentral.
CUACGGGUGGCACCAGUCGAGGAAAUUUUACAAUGCUCGAAAGAGUGAUAGAAUAAGCCAGAGUGUUUCUCUUAGAGAAACUUUUGCCUGUUGUAAAAAGACAGGCGAAUAAGGACUGGGAAAGACCGGUGCCAGCCGCCGCGGUAAUACCGGCGGUCCGAGUCGCAUCCACAUUUAUUGGGUCUAAAACAUUCGUAGCUUGUUUUGUAAGUCUCUUGUGAAAUUCUAUAUCUCAAGUAUAGAGCGUGCAAGAGAUACUACAUAACUAGAGACCGGAAGACGUAAGGAGUAUGAUUGAGGUAGCGGUAAAAUGCGUUAAUCUUAAUCAGACUAACAAUAGCGAAGGCACCUUACGAGUACGGAUCUGACAGUGAGGAAUGAAGGCCAGGGUCGCGAAAGGGAUUAGAUACCCCUCGUAGUC